Molecule: long non-coding RNA, 208 nt
Organism: Epinephelus fuscoguttatus (brown-marbled grouper)
Lineage: Eukaryota; Metazoa; Chordata; Actinopteri; Perciformes; Serranidae
Exons: 3
Source: RefSeq, a predicted model, not a curated record
GAGAUGAUUGUCCUUGAAGAGGAAUCUGAGAUCUCAGUGGUUAAUGAAAACCUCCAUGAUGCCUCAGCCAUAAAUCCUGCAUCAAAGAUCCACUUUGUUGAAGACAAUGACGUGCCUGCUGCAGUGCCUGGUAUUGAGGCCAGUUGCAAAACCUGACUGAGGAGAGAGAGGAACUGAAGAAGAAUCUGCAUGACUUUGCUUCGGAAGG